RNAcentral lists this ribosomal RNA (523 nucleotides) under uncultured bacterium. Its description in RNAcentral is "bacterial SSU rRNA". It matches the Rfam family "Bacterial small subunit ribosomal RNA", at positions 777 to 1301 of the family's 1533-position model. The record is from RNAcentral.
AAUAGAUACCCAGGUAGUCCACGCCGUAAACGAUGAGUGCUAGGUGUCGGGGGGUCCACCCCUCGGUGCCGAAGUCAACACAUUAAGCACUCCGCCUGGGGAGUACGGUCGCAAGACUGAAACUCAAAGGAAUUGACGGGGACCCGCACAAGCAGUGGAGUAUGUGGUUUAAUUCGAAGCAACGCGAAGAACCUUACCAGGUCUUGACAUCCCUCUGACCGCUGCAGAGAUGCGGCUUUCCUUCGGGACAGAGGAGACAGGUGGUGCAUGGUUGUCGUCAGCUCGUGUCGUGAGAUGUUGGGUUAAGUCCCGCAACGAGCGCAACCCUUGAAUCUAGUUGCCAGCACAUGAGGUGGGCACUCUAAAUUGACUGCCGGUGACAAACCGGAGGAAGGCGGGGAUGACGUCAAAUCAUCAUGCCCCUUAUGACCUGGGCUACACACGUACUACAAUGGCCGGUACAACGGGCAGCGAAGUCGCGAGAUGGAGCCAAUCCUUUAAAGCCGGUCUCAGUUCGGAUUGC